AGCGAACGCUGGCGGCAAUGCUUAACACAUGCAAGUCGCACGGGUCGGGUUUCGGCCCGGCAGUGGCGGACGGGUGAGUAACGCGUAGGGAUCUAUCCUUGGAUGGGGGACAACCGUGGGAAACUACGGCUAAUACCGCAUGACGCCUGAGGGCCAAAGCUCGCGAGAGCGUCUGGGGAGAGCCUGCGUCCGAUUAGCUAGUUGGUGGGGUAAAGGCCUACCAAGGCUGUGACGGUAGCUGGUCUGAGAGGAUGAUCAGCCACACUAGGACUGAGACACGGCCCAGACUCCUACGGGAGGCAGCA
RNAcentral lists this ribosomal RNA (305 nucleotides) under uncultured bacterium. Its description in RNAcentral is "bacterial SSU rRNA". It matches the Rfam family "Bacterial small subunit ribosomal RNA", at positions 29 to 353 of the family's 1533-position model. The record is from RNAcentral.